Molecule: non-coding RNA, 147 nt
Organism: Caenorhabditis elegans
Lineage: Eukaryota; Metazoa; Nematoda; Chromadorea; Rhabditida; Rhabditidae
Source: Ensembl
ACCUGCAUUGUAUGGUGCUCCACUAAACAUAGUCAUUGGUUGAACCGGAUAAUUGAACCCGGUUGUGGCAGUUGAAGGAAUUGUGAAGUAACUAUAGCUGGUCAUCCCUGAAAAAUAUAACAAUUGUUGAAAAUGGAAUUGUAAAGU